UUUAAUGAGAGUUUGAUCCUGGCUCAGGACGAACGCUGGCGGCGUGCCUAAUACAUGCAAGUAGAACGCUGAUGUUUGGUGUUUACACUAGACUGAUGAGUUGCGAACGGGUGAGUAACGCGUAGGUAACCUGCCUCAUAGCGGGGGAUAACUAUUGGAAACGAUAGCUAAUACCGCAUAAGAGUGAUUAACACAUGUUAGUUAUUUAAAAGGAGCAAUUGCUUCACUGUGAGAUGGACCUGCGUUGUAUUAGCUAGUUGGUGAGGUAAAGGCUCACCAAGGCGACGAUACAUAGCCGACCUGAGAGGGUGAUCGGCCACACUGGGACUGAGACACGGCCCAGACUCCUACGGGAGGCAGCAGUAGGGAAUCUUCGGCAAUGGA
Molecule: ribosomal RNA, 384 nt
Filed under: Streptococcus agalactiae
Lineage: Bacteria; Bacillati; Bacillota; Bacilli; Lactobacillales; Streptococcaceae
Description: bacterial SSU rRNA
Rfam family: Bacterial small subunit ribosomal RNA
Source: RNAcentral